GGUGUUGUAGCUCAAUGGUGGAGCACUUGCCUAGCAUGCACGAGGCACGGGGUUCGAUCCUCAGCACCA
Molecule: transfer RNA, 69 nt
Filed under: Marmota monax (woodchuck)
Lineage: Eukaryota; Metazoa; Chordata; Mammalia; Rodentia; Sciuridae
Rfam family: tRNA
About the family: Transfer RNA (tRNA) molecules are approximately 80 nucleotides in length. Their secondary structure includes four short double-helical elements and three loops (D, anti-codon, and T loops).
Source: Rfam by way of RNAcentral